Molecule: RNase P RNA, 340 nt
Filed under: Comamonadaceae bacterium SCN 68-20
Lineage: Bacteria; Pseudomonadati; Pseudomonadota; Betaproteobacteria; Burkholderiales; Comamonadaceae
Also listed under: 1 other name
Description: RNase P RNA component class A
Rfam family: Bacterial RNase P class A
About the family: Ribonuclease P (RNase P) is a ubiquitous endoribonuclease, found in archaea, bacteria and eukarya as well as chloroplasts and mitochondria. Its best characterised activity is the generation of mature 5'-ends of tRNAs by cleaving the 5'-leader elements of precursor-tRNAs.
Source: RNAcentral
GAAGCACGCCAGACCGCCGCUGGUGCUAGUGCCGAAAGGCCGCACUGGAGGAAUGUCCGGACUGCACAGGACAGCGUAGCAGCUAACGGCUGCCCACCGUGAGGUGAGGAUCAGAGCAACAGAGACGAGUCCCGGGGGAGUGCUUGCGAAGGUAGACCACUGGGGGUGAAACGGGCAAUCUCUACGCGCAGCAACACCAAGUAGGCCAGCGUUGACGUGGUUCCGCGGAGCUGGCGGGUAGGUGGCAUCGAGCCGUGGUGGCGACACCCGGCCCAGAGUAAUGGCGGUCACGUGCGGGCAACCGCAUGCACAGAAUCCGGCUUAUCGGCGCGCUUCACAC